This 257-nucleotide ribosomal RNA is filed under the name uncultured bacterium. Its description in RNAcentral is "partial 16S ribosomal RNA". It matches the Rfam family "Bacterial small subunit ribosomal RNA", at positions 524 to 776 of the family's 1533-position model. The record is from RNAcentral.
UACGGAGGGUGCAAGCGUUAUCCGGAUUCACGUGGUUUAAAGGGUGCGUAGGUGGGCUUGUAAGUCAGUGGUGAAAUCUCCGUGCUUAACAUGGAACUGCCAUUGAUGACUAUGAGUCUUGAAUUUUCUGGAGGUCGAGUCGGAAUAUGUCGAUGAUAGCGGUGAAAUGCUUAGAUAUGACAUAGAACACCGAUUGCGAAGGCAGCUGGCUACAGGGAUAUUGACACUGAGGCACGAAAGCGUGGGGAGCAAACGGG